GAUGAACGCUGGCGGCGUGCCUAAUACAUGCAAGUCGAGCGAACAGACGAGGAGCUUGCUCCUCUGACGUUAGCGGCGGACGGGUGAGUAACACGUGGAUAACCUACCUAUAAGACUGGGAUAACUUCGGGAAACCGGAGCUAAUACCGGAUAAUAUAUUGAACGGCAUGGUUCAAUAGUGAAAGACGGUUUUGCUGUCACUUAUAGAUGGAUCCGCGCCGCAUUAGCUAGUUGGUAAGGUAACGGCUUACCAAGGCAACGAUGCGUAGCCGACCUGAGAGGGUGAUCAGCCACACUGGAACUGAGACACGGUCCAGACUCCUACGGGAGGCAGCAGUAGGGAAUCUUCCGCAAUGGGCGAAAGCCUGACGGAGCAACGCCGCGUGAGUGAUGAAGGUCUUCGGAUCGUAAAACUCUGUUAUUAGGGAAGAACAAAUGUGUAAGUAACUAUGCACGUCUUGACGGUACCUAAUCAGAAAGCCACGGCUAACUACGUG
RNAcentral lists this ribosomal RNA (497 nucleotides) under uncultured bacterium. RNAcentral's name for it is "partial 16S ribosomal RNA". It matches the Rfam family "Bacterial small subunit ribosomal RNA", at positions 28 to 507 of the family's 1533-position model. The record is from RNAcentral.